Non-coding RNA from Pelobates cultripes (western spadefoot toad), 619 nucleotides. The record is from the annotation of a GenBank genome assembly. NCBI's taxonomy places the organism in Eukaryota, Metazoa, Chordata, Amphibia, Anura, Pelobatidae.
UUUUGUGAUCUGUGACUUUAUAGAUUUAAUUAAUAGGUGACAGCAAUAAAAAGUUCAUUUUGAAAUUAGCUCCAUGUUUCAAAUAUGUUCUCAUAAUAUAGCAUUAUAAAGCCCAAUAGUAUAGUUUAGGAUUUUACAUUUACAUUAAUUACAAAAUUGCUAUUUUCUUUAAGCUGUGCUAUGUACAUUCUAAAAAAAAAAAAAACUGCAAUCAUAAAAUUAUUUAUUGUGUAAAGGGCAUUGACUAGCAUUUAGUUAGGUUUGAUCUGCUGGAUGGACACGUAAAAAUAUCUAAACAAUGUUAAGCAAUUUGUGUAUCUGUUACAAAAUAACAAUAAUGGCACAAUUUGGAUCAAUAAUAAAAAGUUGUAUGUUACAUAUUCAUUAUUACGCACCAUAAGUCAAGUAUAAACCUUACUAUAAAUGUAAUACACAGAUAAAACCAUCCACCGUUGUGUAUUUGACUGAAGACACUUUUCUGAAUUAACUGGAUAUAUAAAGAUUUAAUUUUCUUAUAUUUUCUGUUAACACCACAUAAGUACACGAACAUCCCUUUUCUGCUGACAACAAGCAAUAGUACAUCUUUUUCUGCAUAUAUAAAAUGAAAACUGCCAUUUUC